RNAcentral lists this ribosomal RNA (504 nucleotides) under uncultured bacterium. RNAcentral describes it as "partial 16S ribosomal RNA". It matches the Rfam family "Bacterial small subunit ribosomal RNA", at positions 30 to 523 of the family's 1533-position model. The record is from RNAcentral.
AUUGAACGCUGGCGGCAGGCCUAACACAUGCAAGUCGAACGGUAGCACAGAGAGCUUGCUCUCGGGUGACGAGUGGCGGACGGGUGAGUAAUGUCUGGGAAACUGCCUGAUGGAGGGGGAUAACUACUGGAAACGGUAGCUAAUACCGCAUAACGUCGCAAGACCAAAGAGGGGGACCUUCGGGCCUCUUGCCAUCAGAUGUGCCCAGAUGGGAUUAGCUAGUAGGUGGGGUAACGGCUCACCUAGGCGACGAUCCCUAGCUGGUCUGAGAGGAUGACCAGCCACACUGGAACUGAGACACGGUCCAGACUCCUACGGGAGGCAGCAGUGGGGAAUAUUGCACAAUGGGCGCAAGCCUGACGCAGCCAUGCCGCGUGUAUGAAGAAGGCCUUCGGGUUGUAAAGUACUUUCAGCGGGGAGGAAGGGAGUAAGGUUAAUAACCUUGCUCAUUGACGUUACCCGCAGAAGAAGCACCGGCUAACUCCGUGCCAGCAGCCGCAGUAA